RNAcentral lists this ribosomal RNA (253 nucleotides) under uncultured bacterium. Its description in RNAcentral is "partial 16S ribosomal RNA". It matches the Rfam family "Bacterial small subunit ribosomal RNA", at positions 524 to 776 of the family's 1533-position model. The record is from RNAcentral.
UACAGAGGGGGCGAGCGUUGUUCGGAAUUACUGGGCGUAAAGGGCGCGUAGGCGGCCAACUAAGUCGGACGUGAAAUCCCCGGGCUCAACCCGGGAACUGCGUCCGAUACUGGGAGGCUUGAAUCCGGGAGAGGGAUGUGGAAUUCCAGGUGUAGCGGUGAAAUGCGUAGAUAUCUGGAGGAACACCGGUGGCGAAGGCGGCAUCCUGGACCGGUAUUGACGCUGAGGCGCGAAAGCUAGGGGAGCAAACGGG